AACUCCGGGAAACCCGGGGCUAAUAACCGGAUAACAUUUUGCACCGCAUGGUGCAAAAUUGAAAGGCGGCUUCGGCUGUCACUUAUAGAUGGACCUGCGGCGCAUUAGCUAGUUGGUGAGGUAACGGCUCACCAAGGCGACGAUGCGUAGCCGACCUGAGAGGGUGAUCGGCCACACUGGGACUGAGACACGGCCCAGACUCCUACGGGAGGCAGCAGUAGGGAAUCUUCCGCAAUGGACGAAAGUCUGACGGAGCAACGCCGCGUGAGCGAUGAAGGCCUUCGGGUCGUAAAGCUCUGUUGUUAGGGAAGAACAAGUGCUAGUUGAAUAAGCUGGCACCUUGACGGUACCUAACCAGAAAGCCACGGCUAACUACGUGCCAGCAGCCGCGGUAAUACGUAGGUGGCAAGCGUU
Molecule: ribosomal RNA, 414 nt
Filed under: bacterium
Lineage: Bacteria
Description: bacterial SSU rRNA
Rfam family: Bacterial small subunit ribosomal RNA
Source: RNAcentral